This 402-nucleotide ribosomal RNA is filed under the name uncultured bacterium. RNAcentral's name for it is "bacterial SSU rRNA". It matches the Rfam family "Bacterial small subunit ribosomal RNA", at positions 362 to 758 of the family's 1533-position model. The record is from RNAcentral.
UUUUGGACAAUGGGCGAAAGCCUGAUCCAGCAAUGCCGCGUGUGGGAAGAAGGCCUUCGGGUUGUAAACCACUUUUGUACGGAACGAAACGGUCUGCUUUAAUACAGUGGGCUAAUGACGGUACCGUAAGAAUAAGCACCGGCUAACUACGUGCCAGCAGCCGCGGUAAUACGUAGGGUGCGAGCGUUAAUCGGAAUUACUGGGCGUAAAGCGUGCGCAGGCGGUUAUAUAAGACAGUUGUGAAAUCCCCGGGCUCAACCUGGGAAUUGCAUCUGUGACUGUAUAGCUAGAGUACGGUAGAGGGGGAUGGAAUUCCGCGUGUAGCAGUGAAAUGCGUAGAUAUGCGGAGGAACACCGAUGGCGAAGGCAAUCCCCUGGACCUUACUGACGCUCAUCACGAAA